UCUUGAUUCGGUCCAUGACAA
Molecule: non-coding RNA, 21 nt
Filed under: Caenorhabditis elegans
Lineage: Eukaryota; Metazoa; Nematoda; Chromadorea; Rhabditida; Rhabditidae
Source: RNAcentral